This 230-nucleotide ribosomal RNA is filed under the name uncultured bacterium. RNAcentral describes it as "partial 16S ribosomal RNA". It matches the Rfam family "Bacterial small subunit ribosomal RNA", at positions 30 to 266 of the family's 1533-position model. The record is from RNAcentral.
UUGAACGCUGGCGGCAUGCCUUACACAUGCAAGUCGAACGGUAGAGGGGCAACCCUUGAGAGUGGCGAACGGGUGAGUAAUAUAUCGGAACGUGCCCAGUCGUGGGGGAUAACGCAGCGAAAGCUGCGCUAAUACCGCAUACGAUCUGUGGAUGAAAGCGGGGGAUCGCAAAGACCUCGCGCGAUUGGAGCGGCCGAUAUCAGAUUAGGUAGUUGGUGGGGUAAAAGCCC